GAACGCUGGCGGCAGGCCAACACAUGCAAGUCGAACGGUAACAGGAAGCAGCUUGCUGCUUGCUGACGAGUGGCGGACGGGUGAGUAAUGUCUGGGAAACUGCCUGAUGGAGGGGGAUAACUACUGGAAACGGUAGCUAAUACCGCAUAACGUCGCAAGACCAAAGAGGGGGACCUUCGGGCCUCUUGCCAUCAGAUGUGCCCAGAUGGGAUUAGCUUGUUGGUGGGGUAACGGCUCACCAAGGCGACGAUCCCUAGCUGGUCUGAGAGGAUGACCAGCCACACUGGAACUGAGACACGGUCCAGACUCCUACGGGAGGCAGCAGUGGGGAAUAUUGCACAAUGGGCGCAAGCCUGAUGCAGCCAUGCCGCGUGUAAUGAAGAAGGCCUUCGGGUUGUAAAGUACUUUCAGCGGGGAGGAAGGUGUUGUGGUUAAUAACCACAGCAAUUGACGUUACCCGCAGAAGAAGCACCGGCUAACUCCGUGCCAGCAGCAGC
This 497-nucleotide ribosomal RNA is filed under the name uncultured bacterium. RNAcentral's name for it is "bacterial SSU rRNA". It matches the Rfam family "Bacterial small subunit ribosomal RNA", at positions 31 to 518 of the family's 1533-position model. The record is from RNAcentral.